Molecule: long non-coding RNA, 247 nt
Filed under: Physcomitrium patens
Lineage: Eukaryota; Viridiplantae; Streptophyta; Bryopsida; Funariales; Funariaceae
Description: long non-coding RNA (PPAT_LNC011457)
Source: RNAcentral
UCUCCAUUUCUAAUAUCUGAACACACAAGGAAACUAUAAUCUCCUCCUUCACCUUAUCGAUCUCUUCCUUAUAGCAAUUCAGUCAUACCAAUAAUUGCUAUUUCUACCAAUAUAUUCACCCUCAUAAUCUCCAAUUGUAAUACUGCGCCCUCACAACUUUCAGCACACAACUACCCUCAUUCUAAUCACUGGAAUACUUCAUACAGAACUGCCAUUCACAAUACGGUGUUUCACACAAACAUAGACU